GACGAACGCUGGCGGCGUGCUUAACACAUGCAAGUCGAACGAUGAAGAAGAGAAACGCGAACUUCGGUUCAAAUUUCACUUCGGAUUAGUGGCAGACGGGUGAGUAACGCGUGAGCAACCUACCUCUUACAAAGGGAUAGCCUCGGGAAACCGUGAUUAAUACCAUAUGACACAUUCAUAAGGCAUCUUAAGAAUGUUAAAGCUACGGCGGUAAGAGAUGGGCGCGCGUCCCAUUAGCUAGUUGGUGAGGUAACGGCCCACCAAGGCGACGAUGGGUAACCGGGCUGAGAGGGUGAACGGUCACAUUGGAACUGAGACACGGUCCAAACUCCUACGGGAGGCAGCAGUGGGGAAUAUUGCACAAUGGAGGGAACUCUGAUGCAGCGACGCCGCGUGAGCGAUGAAGGAAUUCGUUUCGUAAAGCUCUGUUCUAUGGGAAGAAAAGGACUGUACCAUAGGAGAAAGCCCCGGCUAAAUACGUG
RNAcentral lists this ribosomal RNA (482 nucleotides) under uncultured bacterium. Its description in RNAcentral is "partial 16S ribosomal RNA". It matches the Rfam family "Bacterial small subunit ribosomal RNA", at positions 28 to 507 of the family's 1533-position model. The record is from RNAcentral.